This 391-nucleotide unclassified non-coding RNA is filed under the name soil metagenome. Its description in RNAcentral is "partial contains 5.8S ribosomal RNA, internal transcribed spacer 2, and large subunit ribosomal RNA". The stretch from base 1 to 123 matches the Rfam family "5.8S ribosomal RNA", at positions 35 to 154 of the family's 154-position model. The record is from RNAcentral.
GAUGAAGAACGCAGCGAAAUGCGAUACGUAAUGUGAAUUGCAGAUCUCUCAGUGAACCAUCGAAUUUUUGAACGCACAUAGCGCCCGCCGGUCAUUCCGGCGGGCAUGCCUGUCCGAGCGUCGAUGACGCCGCUCGAGCCCCCGUGCUCGGUGUUGGGGCGCUAGGUCUCCCAGAGGCCUAGGCCCCCAAGUAGCAGUGCGCGGUCCGGCUGCGGGCCCCGGGUACAGUAACUUCACUGUUGAGAUGCCCUGGGAGCCGCUGGCUGGUCAGCCGUAAAACCCCCGACAUAGGCCUUCCUGCCCGCCCCCGGCGGGGAGGGAGACCGCCUAAUGUUGACCUCGGAUCAGGUAGGACUACCCGCUGAACUUAAGCAUAUCAAUAAGCGGAGGA